Molecule: long non-coding RNA, 194 nt
Organism: Sinocyclocheilus grahami
Lineage: Eukaryota; Metazoa; Chordata; Actinopteri; Cypriniformes; Cyprinidae
Exons: 4
Source: RefSeq, a predicted model, not a curated record
CUCGUGGGCCUCCUGGUGGCAAAGUAUUCCCUGGUUUACCUUGUCCAACUGGAAGGAAGGGUAUGAAAGGAGUUCAGGGAAUAUCAGGACAGAAAGGUGUGAAAGGUCGGAGAGGACUUUCUGUAAAACCAAGUAUUCCCGUCCAGCAGAUACCAGGGCAUCAUACUCCACCUCAUGCUCCAAGAAGAGGAUCA